Long non-coding RNA from Solanum tuberosum (potato), 5472 nucleotides. RefSeq lists it as uncharacterized. Lineage: Eukaryota; Viridiplantae; Streptophyta; Magnoliopsida; Solanales; Solanaceae. The transcript is spliced from 3 exons. The record is from RefSeq and is a predicted model, not a curated record.
UUAACUUUUCUCCAAAAAUGAAAUAGAAAUAAGUUAUACUAUAGUGUGUGCCUCGAGAAAACCGAGUAAGAGGACACCAAAAGUCCGUCAUGUCGAUGACGGAGGCCACCCUCUCCACCGCCGGUAACCGCCGUUCUUACCGGUGCUACAACUGCAACGAUGCCUUUCACAUAACCACCACCGCCGGCGUCAGCUCCUCUUUUCGUUGCCCUCGCUGCUUUCAUCGCCACCUCCUCCCUAAUUACACCAUUGCCAGUCUUAUGCCUUUUUCUCAACAUUUAACUCUUACCAAUUUUACCCUUUCCACCAACAAUUCUGUUACUUUUGAUUAUUCCGAUUCCGAAACUGAAUCCGAUGAGAGUGAUUCCGACGAUCUUUCGUUUGAGUUGUUUAACUCAACUCAAUUCCGUUCACCGACUCUUAAAUCGUUUCUCAACUCACUUCCGAGUGUGAAAAUCGAUGAAUCAUCGAAAAACUGUUCGAUUUGUAUGGAGGAAUUUGGAAUUGAUACGGAAGCGAGUCAAUUGCCUUGUAAGCAUUUUUUUCAUAAUGAUUGUAUUGUCCCUUGGCUUAAUCGGAGUAAUACUUGUCCACUUUGUCGGCAUAAAUUGCCGCAAGAAGAUGAAGAUGAAAUUGAAAAGGAACUAGAAGUGAUUUUGGAUGGUGAAAUUGGUGGUAGAGAAUUUCGAGAUAAUAAUGUUGUUCUAGUAACAACAGCAUCAUCCUUGACUGAAGUUGGUGAGGAUGUUGACGAUGAUCUUAGAGAAAGGGAUCUGGAUGCAAUGCGCGAUGAAGAUGGUGAUAUAAUGAUGGUUGAUGCUUGAAGUUAAAAAGAGAAACAUAUAGACAUGUAUAUAAUUAUCCUUUUUGGUACCUAGUCGAAGCACGUGGUAACUUGUGGAAAGCUUUGAAGAAUGGUAUUCUGCUGAACCAGAUGCAGAGGCCAAAAGGCCCAGGUUAACUAUUAGAGUCUGCUUGGUGGCAGGUGCAUCAGUGCCCGUACUAGUAAAUAUGGGGAGUUGGUUGUUGCUAUUUCCCUUGUGAACGGAGGGGGUGUUGGGAUUUUAUUUUCACUAUUCAAGUCUGUAGCGGUCAACUGUGAAGGAUUUCCUAUGUGUGUUGUACAACUAGAGGAAAUGAGAAAACUUUACAGUUGAGAGCAUCAAUUAGAUUAAUUAUUUGUCCAUACUAGUCACUUAGAGAUAGAAACCUCUUCUAUGUUCAACAUUAUCAUGUUAAGCAAUGCAGUGUCGUGAAGUAUUUCUUCAAACUUUCCAUUUAAUUUUUGUAAGGUUCUAUUUCAUAAUAUUACUUCAAUCAAGAAGUAUGCUCUUUUAUAGAAAAUGUAUAUACUUUAAAUUUUUUUGUUAUAAACAAGAAAUGAGUAAUGAUUCCCACCCCAUGUGUUUAUGUUAUGUUUUGGAUAUGAUUCAAUUGCUUCAAAUCUAUGUAACAGAGGGUGAAGUCUAUAUGUAUGGCAUAUACAUAAGAUCUUCUUGGUAAUGGCAUCAAUUCUUGAGUUUUAAGCAUUCCCAACUGUAUUCAUUUAAUCUUACAUGUUAAGUACAAUCUAGGUUUGAGGUCACUGUCAUCGGUAAAUGAUGAUUCUUUGUACUUAUGGGUUGAAUUUAAUCUUACAUCUUGAAAUUUCUAGACGGCAUGGUAUAAGUGUCACAGAUGUUCUGAAGAUAAAUCUUUUGGGGUGGUAGGAAUUUUGUGGUGAGACCAGAUUAGCAACGCUUAAAAAAUCUGCUUGUUUUGGAAAGUGCUUCUUGAAAAAGUACUUUUGGAGAGUAGCAGUGUGUGUUCGGCUAAUCAAUUUGAAAUGUACUUUUGCCAAUGUUAGAGUAGCAAUUUGCGCUAACCCUUCGUCUUUUCUGAGAUUUUAGUGUUUCAAUUUCUUUUUUCUUUUUGUCUCCAACUUUUGCGAAGGCGAGUUAUUCUUCUGCUUCAAUGGAGUUCGGUGGUGGUUGUAAAAGAAGAAGGCCACAUAGCCUUAUGAAUGGCAAUGGCGGCUUCAAGAAAUCUAAGCUAGGUAACUUUUUUUGCUUUACUGUUUGCUGCAUUUCAUCCUCCAUUUCUAAUCUUUGUUUAGUUGCCUCUUAUAGGCUUCAUUAUUUGUUAUCUAUAUGUGCUGUCAAAUCUAGGGUUUUGCUAAUUUUUCUUCUCCUGGUUUUUUGAAUUUAAUGAUGUACAUGUCACUCUUUAUUGGCGUUGUCUAUUUAUUGUUUUCUAGUGGCCUUUAUUUUGGUUUAUUCUGUAUUUUGUUCCGUGAAGCAAGGUUAUAAUGCUUAUGAUUUUCAUUGGUUUUUCCUUUUGUUUUCAUUGUUGUCAUGUGUUCAUCAUAUUUCUUUUUUACCAAAAUGCAUAAUGGUGUAUAUUAAUAGAGCUUUUUUCAGCUUUGUAUAUUUUGUUGUCAGUUGUGGUGGAUGACAAUAUCUACGUAGUGGUUGUAAAUAUAGUUUGAUAGAUAGAAUGCCACACCAAAGUGCAAAGUUUGAAUAGUUAAAUGAAUUUAGAAUUCGGAAGUUCUAAAUAUGAGUGAGUUUCUUAUAAAGUAUGAUACUUAAAAACUACAAAGUCAAAUUUGAAACCGAUGUAGUAAAAUAUUUUUUCAUGAUUGAGCUGACAAAAUUUUGUUUUCAUGUAAGAAAGAGAGGACAACAAAUUUGCUGUAGUUACUGGUCCUUUUUUUUUUUUCCUCCAGAAGGCUUUGUCGUGCUUUCUACAGUAUUUUGUCAUGAUUUCUUCACUUCUGUUGUUCUUUUUUUCGAUCUGCUUUGAUAUACUGUUUACUGUUUGUUGAGCCGGGGGUCUAUUGAAAACAACCUCUCUAACUUGCAAGGUAGGGGUAAGGUUUGCGUACUCUCUACCCUCCCCAAACGCAUUACACUGGGUAUGUUGUUGUUGAGCACUUCCUUUUUUUUUAAAAAAUAAGCACUUUUGACUUUUCAGAAGCUUGGCCAAACAGGCUAUAACCAUGCACGGACCUUUUUGUUUAUUUUUUGUUUUAAAUAUAAAGAUCUAAGUGCUAGACUUCAUUGAUUUCAUAGAUACAUAGGGUGUAUAGUCCACACUCCACAGAUGCUUUUUGUAACUAGCGAUACCAACUUGGUAUUGAAACUGUUUACAAUAAUUGCUUACUUAUUAAAAGAUUGUUUGAGUUCAGCUUUAUAUGGUUUCAUUCCUCAUCCUCCAUUCCUUAUAAGUGUGGGGGUGGCGCUCUAUGGUGCUGAUUCUGAACAUAGUUUUGUAGAAAGAGAUAAUCAUGACUAUCAUAAAAAUACUUUGUCCCAUUUUAUAUGGCGUUAUUUGAUUGAAUGCUGCUUUUGAAACUUUAUGACUUAUAUGUAAAUAUUAGUGAUUGUGGAGCAAAAUGUUUACAAUAGUGGUUCACAAGUUAGUUUGAUUGAGAAAUGUUACAUCAAAGUUCAAUUUUUUUUAUUGUUGUAAUGAAUUUCCACUUUUGAAAGAUGUUUAGAAAAGGAAUGUCGCCAAACAUUCUGGAGUAUAUUAGUUUUGAUAUUUAUCUAACAAAACUAAUAGUAUCAAGGAAAAACAAGAUCAUGAUAACAAUAAAUGUAAAUAAAGUGAUUGCUUCUUGAGCUGUGGAUGGAGUUACUCUUUUUGUAGGAUUUUGGAAGAUUUGAGCCUAAAUAUGCUAAAAAGUUGCAUUUCUGGCAGAUUUUAACUCCUGAAUUUAGUUUUACUUCAUGUACCAUUGCACUUAUCAUUUCAAAUAUAAUUAUCUGCUUCUGUAAUUGCUUAAGCACAAGUUCUGGCUUCCAUAAAAUUAAAGUACUUUUUAUUUGCAUAAUAGCCGAGGCACAAGUUUUGUACUUUGUCUCGUUUAGGUAAAUUUUGCUCAGGUUCCGCUUCUAGCUUGUUUUUCUGAUCAACUGUUUAGCUUUGUAUAUACAGCUCUGAGCUACUGGACUGAUGGCAGGUUUUCACUAAGCGGGGCAGGGAAGUCAAGUAUCAGACUAAUAAAUACCUUUAGUGCUUAUUUACUUACUUUUAAGUGUGGGAUCUUAGUCAGUCUUUUCUGCAUCUGUUGUCCAUCACUUAACUGUCCCCAUCUUCCAGGUGAGAAUUUUGGUCAUACUCCAGGCUGGUCUCAUUUCUUUGUUUUUCCAUACAUUUAAAAGUAUUACACAUAGACUCGGGUCUAUCUGGAACAGCCUCUCUUCCUUCAAGGGGGUUAGGUCUGCAUACACUCUACCCUACAGACCCCACUCACUGGUAUUACACAGGGUUUGUUGUUGUUGUUGUUAUUGUAUGUAGAAGUAAGACGCACACUCUCUACAUAAACUUCUUUAGGCCAGAGGUCUAUGAUGCAAGACUAUGGUACCAUAUGCAACUAUGCUCAGAUUAGCUAUACAUGAAAUCCAUAUCCUGAGUUUACUUUUUUGCUUUCUUAUAAAUAAAAAAAAAAGAAUACAUAUCAUGGGUUUAAUUUUCUGCCUUGUGAUUACUCUUCCGAGUUCUGGUUUUUCUAUGUUGCUUGUGAUCCAUUAGGUUUGCCAUUAUAGUUCUGUUAGUUGUUUGCCCACUCCUUAUAUUGGGGUUCUAGUAGCUGCCGCUUGAAGUUAAACCGUUUUUGGGAAGUAGUCAGGGUGAAGAGUCCAUAAUUGUAACUCUUUUAGUUUGAAAAUUGAGGAUGUUGCUCUGACAUAUUUGCUCAAGGGCCAGCAUGUUUUGUAAUGAUUUUAAUUAAAAAGGUUUUUAGGAUGUAGUCUUUGUACAGCUUCUUCUUUAGGAUGUAGACUGGAUUUAGGUACGCAACAAUCGUUCGAAACAUCUGCUACCAAGUCAAUGGGUUGGUCAAUGACUGUGUGCUCUUUGCUGAAUUAACGACUGAUUUUGGAACCAAACCAGGUAACUUUAGAGGUGAUGGCGAUGGUAGAUUCUGAAGAAUCAAUGGCUCUACUGGUGACCUGUUGAAAAGAAGAAGGCUGCUUUGACUUUGAUUAGCCAACGAGUGCUGGGAUACUGUGCUCCUGUUCAUUUGUUGGUGAUAUUUGUACAUAUGAAUCCUACUGCUGAGGUUUGCAAGGGCUUGGGUUGAGCUGGGGUAGUUUCCAGAAUACCAGACAAUUAUGCAAGGGUUGCUUCCAACUCUAUUGAAGUCGAGCUACUUGUCAUUGUUACUCUAUCAAUUGUAUCGUCUAAAGUCUAAACCAUGGUUGGUAAUCAUCUACAUCAUUAGGAAAGUUUAGUAUUUGAUUGAGAUAGCGGUGCAUGAGUUGGAUUUUCUUUGAAAUUUUGUACUGUGCGAAGGAACAACACUUCGAAGGAAAACAAACAGCUGGGCAUUAUGGUCAUAAGUGCAAAACGAGUUUUUUUUCUUUUUUCUUUUAGUGUUUUUUUGGAAACAGCCUCGUAGUGGUAAGGUAUAUAUAUACUUUACCCUCCCUAAACCCUACUUUGUGGAAUUUCAUCGGGUAGAUUGAUGUUGUAUUUUACUUUCUA